RNAcentral lists this ribosomal RNA (253 nucleotides) under uncultured bacterium. Its description in RNAcentral is "partial 16S ribosomal RNA". It matches the Rfam family "Bacterial small subunit ribosomal RNA", at positions 524 to 776 of the family's 1533-position model. The record is from RNAcentral.
UACGAAGGGAGCUAGCGUUGUUCGGAAUUACUGGGCGUAAAGGGCGCGUAGGCGGACAUCUAAGUCAGGGGUGAAAUCCCAGGGCUCAACCCUGGAAUUGCCUUUGAUACUGGCUGUCUUGAGUUCGGGAGAGGUGAGUGGAAUUCCGAGUGUAGAGGUGAAAUUCGUAGAUAUUCGGAGGAACACCAGAAGCGAAGGCGGCUCACUGGCCCGAUACUGACGCUGAGGCGCGAAAGCGUGGGGAGCAAACAGG